This 253-nucleotide ribosomal RNA is filed under the name uncultured Clostridium sp. RNAcentral's name for it is "partial 16S ribosomal RNA". It matches the Rfam family "Bacterial small subunit ribosomal RNA", at positions 524 to 776 of the family's 1533-position model. Lineage: Bacteria; Bacillati; Bacillota; Clostridia; Eubacteriales; Clostridiaceae. The record is from RNAcentral.
UACGUAGGUGGCGAGCGUUGUCCGGAUUUACUGGGCGUAAAGGGAGCGUAGGCGGAUUCUUAAGUGGGAUGUGAAAUACCUGGGCUUAACCUGGGUGCUGCAUUCCAAACUGGGAAUCUAGAGUGCAGGAGGGGAGAGUGGAAUUCCUAGUGUAGCGGUGAAAUGCGUAGAGAUUAGGAAGAACACCAGUGGCGAAGGCGACUCUCUGGACUGUAACUGACGCUGAGGCUCGAAAGCGUGGGGAGCAAACAGG